RNAcentral lists this ribosomal RNA (634 nucleotides) under uncultured Comamonas sp. Its description in RNAcentral is "bacterial SSU rRNA". It matches the Rfam family "Bacterial small subunit ribosomal RNA", at positions 897 to 1533 of the family's 1533-position model. The record is from RNAcentral. Lineage: Bacteria; Pseudomonadati; Pseudomonadota; Betaproteobacteria; Burkholderiales; Comamonadaceae.
AAACUCAAAGGAAUUGACGGGGACCCGCACAAGCGGUGGAUGAUGUGGUUUAAUUCGAUGCAACGCGAAAACCUUACCCACCUUUGACAUGUACGGAACCCUUUAGAGAUAGAGGGGUGCUCGAAAGAGAACCGUAACACAGGUGCUGCAUGGCUGUCGUCAGCUCGUGUCGUGAGAUGUUGGGUUAAGUCCCGCAACGAGCGCAACCCUUGCCAUUAGUUGCUACGAAAGGGCACUCUAAUGGGACUGCCGGUGACAAACCGGAGGAAGGUGGGGAUGACGUCAAGUCCUCAUGGCCCUUAUAGGUGGGGCUACACACGUCAUACAAUGGCCGGUACAAAGGGCAGCCAACCCGCGAGGGGGAGCCAAUCCCAUAAAGCCGGUCGUAGUCCGGAUCGCAGUCUGCAACUCGACUGCGUGAAGUCGGAAUCGCUAGUAAUCGUGGAUCAGCAUGUCACGGUGAAUACGUUCCCGGGUCUUGUACACACCGCCCGUCACACCAUGGGAGCGGGUUCUGCCAGAAGUAGGUAGCCUAACCGCAAGGAGGGCGCUUACCACGGCAGGGUUCGUGACUGGGGUGAAGUCGUAACAAGGUAGCCGUAUCGGAAGGUGCGGCUGGAUCACCUCCUUUCUG